AUUGAACGCUGGCGGCAUGCUUUACACAUGCAAGUCGAACGGCAGCGCGGGCUUCGGCCUGGCGGCGCGUGGCGAACGGGUGAGUAAUGCAUCGGAACGUGCCCAGUAGUGGGGGAUAGCCCGGCGAAAGCCGGAUUAAUACCGCAUACGACCUGAGGGUGAAAGCGGGGGACCGAAAGGCCUCGCGCUAUUGGAGCGGCCGAUGUCGGAUUAGCUAGUUGGUGGGGUAAAGGCUUACCAAGGCGACGAUCCGUAGCUGGUCUGAGAGGACGACCAGCCACACUGGGACUGAGACACGGCCCAGACUCCUACGGGAGGCAGCAGUGGGGAAUUUUGGACAAUGGGGGCAACCCUGAUCCAGCCAUGCCGCGUGCGGGAAGAAGGCCUUCGGGUUGUAAACCGCUUUUGUUCGGGAAGAAAUCCUCUGGGCUAAUACCCCGGGGGGAUGACGGUACCGGAAGAAUAAGCACCGGCUAACUACGUG
Molecule: ribosomal RNA, 484 nt
Filed under: uncultured bacterium
Lineage: Bacteria
Description: partial 16S ribosomal RNA
Rfam family: Bacterial small subunit ribosomal RNA
Source: RNAcentral